This 678-nucleotide ribosomal RNA is filed under the name Salmonella enterica subsp. enterica serovar Anatum. Its description in RNAcentral is "bacterial SSU rRNA". It matches the Rfam family "Bacterial small subunit ribosomal RNA", at positions 865 to 1533 of the family's 1533-position model. Lineage: Bacteria; Pseudomonadati; Pseudomonadota; Gammaproteobacteria; Enterobacterales; Enterobacteriaceae. The record is from RNAcentral.
UAGACCGCCUGGGGAGUACGGCCGCAAGGUUAAAACUCAAAUGAAUUGACGGGGGCCCGCACAAGCGGUGGAGCAUGUGGUUUAAUUCGAUGCAACGCGAAGAACCUUACCUGGUCUUGACAUCCACAGAAGUUUCCAGAGAUGGAUUUGUGCCUUCGGGAACUGUGAGACAGGUGCUGCAUGGCUGUCGUCAGCUCGUGUUGUGAAAUGUUGGGUUAAGUCCCGCAACGAGCGCAACCCUUAUCCUUUGUUGCCAGCGAUUAGGUCGGGAACUCAAAGGAGACUGCCAGUGAUAAACUGGAGGAAGGUGGGGAUGACGUCAAGUCAUCAUGGCCCUUACGACCAGGGCUACACACGUGCUACAAUGGCGCAUACAAAGAGAAGCGACCUCGCGAGAGCAAGCGGACCUCAUAAAGUGCGUCGUAGUCCGGAUUGGAGUCUGCAACUCGACUCCAUGAAGUCGGAAUCGCUAGUAAUCGUGGAUCAGAAUGCCACGGUGAAUACGUUCCCGGGCCUUGUACACACCGCCCGUCACACCAUGGGAGUGGGUUGCAAAAGAAGUAGGUAGCUUAACCUUCGGGAGGGCGCUUACCACUUUGUGAUUCAUGACUGGGGUGAAGUCGUAACAAGGUAACCGUAGGGGAACCUGCGGUUGGAUCACCUCCUUACCUUAAAGAA